Molecule: long non-coding RNA, 1066 nt
Organism: Hemicordylus capensis (graceful crag lizard)
Lineage: Eukaryota; Metazoa; Chordata; Lepidosauria; Squamata; Cordylidae
Exons: 3
Source: RefSeq, a predicted model, not a curated record
CAAUCAGGAAGUGCAUUUUAACCUAUUAUUUUAGUUCUUCCUGGGGGCAGUGCCAGGAGGAGCCCCCCCCCCCGAAUCAGAUUGGCUGGAGCAGCAUUACUAGUAACUGUUCCAGCCAGUAAGACCAAAAGAGAGAGUUGCAGGCAGGGGAGGAGGUGAUGGAGGAAGCUCCCUACACUGCAGGUUUUCCUGGCUACUGGAGCCACGGGUGAAAUACAAGCUUGUGUUUAUCCUCACAACAACCCUGUGAGGAAGUUAAGCUGAGAGAUGAGUGACCAGCACAGAGACACAAAGCUGCCUGCAACAUGUAACUAUCAACGGCUAGCAUCACGCAGACUGGAAGGUAACCAAUAGAAUGUGUGAGGAGAGAUUAGAAUGAAUUUUUGACGUCGGUUUUGCCUCAUAAAUGACAUCCUCUGCAGUUGUAAGUUGGCCAUUUGUCGCUCCCCCCGCCCUUUCAAAGGAAGCCUUGUCUUAUCUGAUGCUGAAACUCUUCCAUGCAGCUUUGAACACAGAACCAAGAGAGAGAGAAAUCAGUUGGAAAUUUGUUCAUGUCUACCUCUGUGCUUGACAUUUCUCCACCGAUAAGCUACAGCUAAAUAUUGACUUUUUGGUUAAGUUCAGAUUAGCUGUCUGGUCUAUGAGCAUUGAUCGUAACCCAUUAUCUUUCCCAUUUAGGGCCUCUGGGAUCUGCUGCCAAAAAAUGAGAGACAAAGUAAUGGCAGGAACAAAAUUAACACACAGUAAAGAGAUCACUUUGGUGGGCAACGCCACAAUUACUGUUGACCUUUGAUUUUAUUUCCUGUCAAUCUUGCAUUCCGAUAAAGUAAUUCAUAUUUGCCUUGGGGUUCCUGUUUGUUUGUUUGUUUGUUUGUUUAAGGAAAAGCAUUUUUCUUCUGUCUAUAUGACAACAAAGAUAGAUUCAAAACCUCUUAAUUUUUUUCUCUAUUAAUAAAUAGACAUUUUACAAUAAGUAAGAAGCAUUCAAGUGUCAUGUGCUUUGCUGAUCUCAGCUUCAGUUUGUAGCUUUUGUCUAACUUUAAUCCAUAAGACUUCAAUAUGUCAA